AUGAUUGCCAAACCCUCACCCAAAGAAGAUCCAUGGUUGAUGUUAAAUGGCCCAUCUCGUGCGCUCGUGUUAAUUGACCCGAUUGCAUUUGAAGUUCAGCUAAAAGUAAAGAGCAAAACAGAGCCUGGAAAGGAUGAACUGUUGGCUUUCAAAGUUUUCAGCUACUACAAAGCUUUUCAUUCUGAUGAGGUGGUAUUUACACGCUUCACGUGCAAGCGCUGCACGCUUGAGUUUGCAUAUGCGCCGCUGCUUCCUUCAGUCGAGGCCACUGUCACUGUCCAAGUUAUUGAUGGGUCAUGGGACGACCAUGUUCAAGGAGUUGUUACUUGCCGCACUGCCAGCAUGGAAAAUGGGGAGAUGGUGUUGCUUGCUUCUCGAGAUGGAAAAAUGCCUGUCAACUCGGAUGGUGUGAUUGAGCUUUCAAGGCGCGUUGUUUCUGUAGAAUUAAGGGGACAGCUGUUGGUUUCUGUGCUGGGCCGUGGGACGGGUGAUAAGAAAGGUUUGGUCGCGACAGAUACCGCUCUCUUUACACAGAUGAAUGCCGGCACGAGUCAUGGCGUAUGUGAUCUUGGUUUCUGCAAGGUGCAAGUUACUGUUGCUUGGUCCUUUCUUUCUACCCUGGCAGACAUGCUGUUUUCUGCUUAA
This 645-nucleotide ribosomal RNA is filed under the name Triticum aestivum (bread wheat). RNAcentral describes it as "partial small subunit ribosomal RNA". Lineage: Eukaryota; Viridiplantae; Streptophyta; Magnoliopsida; Poales; Poaceae. The record is from RNAcentral.